Long non-coding RNA from Malurus melanocephalus (red-backed fairy wren), 565 nucleotides. RefSeq lists it as uncharacterized. The transcript has 3 exons. The record is from RefSeq and is a predicted model, not a curated record. Lineage: Eukaryota; Metazoa; Chordata; Aves; Passeriformes; Maluridae.
UUGGAGGGAUACUUCAUAGCCACUGGUAUAAAGGAUGGAAGAAAAUACAACCUUUUUAUGCAAUGAAAGCCGUAAUGAAAUAACUUGCCACUAAAACAGGCAAAAAUUAAUAAAACAGAACCGAGCUGGGAACUUUGCAGCAGGACAGCACAGCAACACUUGCGAGAGACAAAAGCGAGGGAGCGGCAGCUGGGUGUGUCAGCUGGAAGGGCAAAGGCUGAUAGAGAAAAUCAUUUACUGUCAUCAGCACACAAUACAAACACUGAACCCAUUCUCACCCUGGUUGUUUGGGGCAGAGGUGGAACAACUUCGCUCUGGCAUCAUCUGGGCACAGAGCCUACCUGUCACCUGCCAGUGUGACCCUUGGCACAUGGCCUUUUACAGAUGAAAUUUGGACAUUGGGAUGAAUUUCUUCAUAGAAAGGAUGAUUAAACACUGGAAUGGGCUGYCCAAGGUKGGGGUAUCACCUUCCCUGGAGGUGGCCAAGGAAUGACUGGACGUGGCACUCAGUGCUCUGCUCUGAGUCGUCAAGGUAGGGGUUGGUCACAGGUUGGACUUGAUAGUU